AGGCGAGACCGUGAGGUUAAGCAAAGCACAAAAAAAGGACAUCUCAGUUCGGAUUGUAGUCUGCAACUCGACUACAUGAAGCUGGAAUCGCUAGUAAUCGCGAAUCAGAAUGUCGCGGUGAAUACGUUCCCGGGUCUUGUACACACCGCCCGUCACACCAUGAGAGUCUGUAACACCCAAAGCCGGUGGGAUAACCUUUUAUAGGAGUCCAGCCGUCUAAGGUAGGACAGAUGAUUAGGGUGAAGUCGUAACAAGGUACC
RNAcentral lists this ribosomal RNA (260 nucleotides) under uncultured bacterium. RNAcentral describes it as "partial 16S ribosomal RNA". It matches the Rfam family "Bacterial small subunit ribosomal RNA", at positions 1247 to 1500 of the family's 1533-position model. The record is from RNAcentral.